UACGGAGGUGGCAAGCGUUAUCCGGAAUCAUUGGGUUUAAAGGGUCCGUAGGCGGGUCAAUAAGUCAGUGGUGAAAGUCUGCAGCUCAACUGUAGAAUUGCCAUUGAUACUGUUAACCUUGAGUAAUUAUGAAGUGGUUAGAAUAUGUAGUGUAGCGGUGAAAUGCAUAGAUAUUACUCAGAAUACCGAUUGCGAAGGCAGAUCACUAAUAAUAUACUGACGCUGAUGGAUGAAAGCGUAGGUAGCGAACAGG
This 253-nucleotide unclassified non-coding RNA is filed under the name uncultured Flavobacteriaceae bacterium. Its description in RNAcentral is "contains 16S-23S intergenic spacer region". It matches the Rfam family "Bacterial small subunit ribosomal RNA", at positions 524 to 776 of the family's 1533-position model. Lineage: Bacteria; Pseudomonadati; Bacteroidota; Flavobacteriia; Flavobacteriales; Flavobacteriaceae. The record is from RNAcentral.